Long non-coding RNA from Falco peregrinus (peregrine falcon), 400 nucleotides. RefSeq lists it as uncharacterized. The transcript has 3 exons. The record is from RefSeq and is a predicted model, not a curated record. Lineage: Eukaryota; Metazoa; Chordata; Aves; Falconiformes; Falconidae.
UAUGUCUGCUGUUAGUGGAGGACUUCAGUAGCGCUGUGGAUGGUGUAGAAAGCUAACUCUGUUCUUCUAACCACAGACUUUUAAAGCUUGGUAAAUAAACACUGGAUAAACUCAAGAGAAUUUCUGCACUGCAAAGACUUCUUACGCUUUUGAGUUCUCCAGGGCUGGCAUGUUUUGACUGAACUGCUGCAAUGACUCUGGAAACAGUCUGACUUUUCUAGUUGAUCAAAAGAAAAACAAAUAACCUCAGCUAUGGAGAGAAAAAGACAGCUACAAAAAAGGGAAAUUGGGAAAAGACUUUCUCUGGACAGCAGUCUUGUGGAAUAUAUGGACUCAAACAAAUAUAUAGAGCACUUAGUGACUCAGCUGGAAGAGCAACGCUGGAAUUUAUGGAGGCAAG